Molecule: ribosomal RNA, 558 nt
Filed under: uncultured Planctomycetota bacterium
Lineage: Bacteria; Pseudomonadati; Planctomycetota
Description: bacterial SSU rRNA
Rfam family: Bacterial small subunit ribosomal RNA
Source: RNAcentral
AGAGUUUGAUCCUGGCUCAGCCUGAACGCUGGCGGCGUGGCUAAGACAUGCAAGUCGUACGGAGGUAGCAAUACCUCAGUGGCGAACGGGUGAGUAAUGAAUCGCUAACGUGCCCCGGACUCCGGGAUAGCUGCCCGAAAGGGCAGGUAAUACCGGGUAACAUAACCCUGACGCAUGGCAGGGUUCUCAAAGGUCCGCCGGUCUGGGAGCGGGCGAUUUCGUAUCAGCUAGUUGGUGGGGUAACGGCCCACCAAGGCGACGACGCGUAGCCGGACUGAGAGGUUGGCCGGCCACAUUGGGACUGAGACACUGCCCAGACUCCUACGGGGGGCUGCAGUAACGAAUCUUCCGCAAUGCACGAAAGUGUGACGGAGCGACGCCGCGUGUGGGACGAAGUUCUUCGGAAUGUAAACCACUGUCAGGGGAAAGAAAGUUCUGAUCUACCCCAGAGGAAGAGGCGGCUAACUCUGUGCCAGCAGCCGCGGUAAUACAGAGGCCUCGAGCGUUAGGCGGAAUCACUGGGCUUAAAGCGUGUGUAGGCGGACUUCUAAGUACCUU